Molecule: unclassified non-coding RNA, 240 nt
Filed under: Hevea brasiliensis (rubber tree)
Lineage: Eukaryota; Viridiplantae; Streptophyta; Magnoliopsida; Malpighiales; Euphorbiaceae
Source: RNAcentral
CUCUGUUUCAUCCCUAUUCUUCUGCCUCUUUCCUUAUGUUGCCUAUGUAAAGUCACAUUAUGGUCUGGCAGAUCCAUUUGUGUCACGUUGCUGUUCAAGGUCAUUUACACGAAUCCAAGGCUUAUUGUUGUUGGCAUGCUUUAUUACAGUUGCAGCUUGGCUUGUUUCUGGGCAUUGGGUUUUGAACAACUUGUUGGGUAUUUCUAUUUGCAUCGCAUUUGUGAGUCAUGUGCGCCUUCC